Long non-coding RNA from Corvus hawaiiensis (hawaiian crow), 813 nucleotides. RefSeq lists it as uncharacterized. The transcript is spliced from 7 exons. Lineage: Eukaryota; Metazoa; Chordata; Aves; Passeriformes; Corvidae. The record is from RefSeq and is a predicted model, not a curated record.
GUCUUAAUUUUUAGGAAGUAAAGCCAGGUAUCACCAAUCAAUGUCAAAUGAGUGAGGUGGUCCACUUUUUUAUGCUGAAUCGCCUUGCCACCGGCUGAUGGACCCGGCUCGCCGCCAUCGUGAGCCUGUUGGAAGUAUCACGGGACUCUGUGACGGAGCCUUGACCUUUUCCAUUUGAAGGUAUGCCCUGUGACGGCGGCGUCAGACUGGGAGUGCGGCCGGAGCAUGUGGCCCGAGGGCCCUGGCCAUUUUAGGAGAUGCCAACUAAGAGACAACAGCCCGGUGACGGCAGGAACUUCCCAGAUGGCGAGGCGGCCUUCUUUCACACCUGACCUGGAUUCGCAUUCCCGGACCUCCGAGAGAUAAGUGGAGGGCUACGCCUCACAGAGGGGAUGAGAGCGAUGUGCCGGGUCAGGACUCGUCGGAAGGAUUUUUGAAUUAGCUCUGGAGACGGGGAUGUCCAAGAAAUGGCCCCUUUAGGCCACACGAUGGGAAAGUCUCACUUUUGAUCACAAUGCUGAGGCACGUAGGACAGAACAGUCCCGACGCAGAUCGAUUCUAUCUGUGGUGGAGCGCUCCAUACUAGGUGAGGGGGUUCGCACAGGAAGGAGGUAAAGCCGGAUCUCAGCAGUCCAUGUCAAGUGAGCGAGGCGGUCCACUUGCAUUACGCCGAACCCCCUCGCAGAACGGCCGACGGACCCGGCUCGCCGCCCUCGUGACCCCUCCGCAAGUAUCGCAAAGCUCUGCGAUGAAGCCUUGACCUUUUCCACGUGACGGUGCCGUCCGGGUAGCCUUCGGCAACGGCCGAGGAGU